RNAcentral lists this long non-coding RNA (518 nucleotides) under Mytilus galloprovincialis (Mediterranean mussel). The record is from RNAcentral. Lineage: Eukaryota; Metazoa; Mollusca; Bivalvia; Mytilida; Mytilidae.
AAACCGCCCAUACCUCGAGGAAAAGAAAACCCGCGACGAAGAUAUGAAGGAUAAUACAACCGCAUCCGCUCCUACUACGAUAACCAUCCAAGAGAAAAACUUAGCCAACUUUAGAACCUUACGGAAAUUGAACAUUAAAUUCAUCCGCAGCCAGAACCACCUACAAUACCUCGAACACAUCUACCAGGAUUUACCAUUCCCAGAAUUGCGGCGAUCAUACACUUCACCUUUUACUAAUUCAAUGGAAGCAGUACCUCCCUCGGAGCGAAGCCAGUUGAAUUGGUACGGGAUGGCCAAUGGGGUGUUGUCCAAUUUGGAAAUGAACUGACAUUUUAUGAGCCACUUCCAUCAUUUCUACAAUAUUACCACCAGAAACUUAACUUUUAUUCUUGCUACAUUAUGAACACUAUUUUACAUUUUCACUUUCACUUUUAUUCUUUUACGUCAUAAUUAAUACAACCGCAUUUUAUACACUUUAUGAACAUGUAAACUCUGUAAUAUUGUCCUGAUGACGCCGC